AACGAACGCUGGCGGCAGGCUUAACACAUGCAAGUCGAACGCAUCCUUCGGGGUGAGUGGCAGACGGGUGAGUAACGCGUGGGAACGUGCCCUUCAGUUCGGAAUAACCCAGGGAAACUUGGGCUAAUACCGGAUACGUGCGAGAGCAGAAAGAUUUAUCGCUGAAGGAUCGGCCCGCGUCUGAUUAGCUAGUUGGUGAGGUAAUGGCUCACCAAGGCGACGAUCAGUAGCUGGUCUGAGAGGAUGAUCAGCCACAUUGGGACUGAGACACGGCCCAAACUCCUACGGGAGGCAGCAGUGGGGAAUAUUGGACAAUGGGCGCAAGCCUGAUCCAGCCAUGCCGCGUGAGUGAUGAAGGCCUUAGGGUUGUAAAGCUCUUUCGGCGGGGACGAUAAUGAUGGUACCCGCAGAAGAAGCCCCGGCUAACUUCGUGCCAGCCGCCGCCGUAA
This 449-nucleotide ribosomal RNA is filed under the name uncultured bacterium. Its description in RNAcentral is "partial 16S ribosomal RNA". It matches the Rfam family "Bacterial small subunit ribosomal RNA", at positions 29 to 523 of the family's 1533-position model. The record is from RNAcentral.